GUGUCAGCCGCCGCGGUAAUACGUAGGUGGCAAGCGUUAUCCGGAAUUAUUGGGCGUAAAGCGCGCGUAGGCGGUUUCUUAAGUCUGAUGUGAAAGCCCACGGCUCAACCGUGGAGGGUCAUUGGAAACUGGGGAACUUGAGUGCAGAAGAGGAGAGUGGAAUUCCAUGUGUAGCGGUGAAAUGCGCAGAGAUAUGGAGGAACACCAGUGGCGAAGGCGGCUCUCUGGUCUGUAACUGACGCUGAUGUGCGAAAGCGUGGGGAUCAAACAGGAUUAGAAACCCGGGUAGUCC
Molecule: ribosomal RNA, 292 nt
Filed under: uncultured bacterium
Lineage: Bacteria
Description: partial 16S ribosomal RNA
Rfam family: Bacterial small subunit ribosomal RNA
Source: RNAcentral